Molecule: long non-coding RNA, 3745 nt
Filed under: Heterocephalus glaber (naked mole-rat)
Lineage: Eukaryota; Metazoa; Chordata; Mammalia; Rodentia; Bathyergidae
Description: lncRNA (ENSHGLG00000043247.1)
Source: RNAcentral
UAUCAGGUUAUGGCAGAACACAUAGAUGAUGUGGCUAUUAAUUUAAUCUUGAACAAUUCAAGCAUUCUGUUGUGCACAAUGCAAUAUGUUAAUUAAAACAGGUAACAGCAAAACUCCUUGCUAUUACUUCAAUCUGUUUUCUAUCACUAUAUGUUUUAAUAUGUAUGUUCCUCCAAAAUCAAUAUGUAAAACUGGAACCCUAAAGUUAUACUAGUAUUGAAAGGUAGAGUCUUUGAGGGAGUGAUAAAGUCGUGAGAGUCCUGGCCCUAUAAAAAAAGGCUUCAGAGAGCUGCCUUCUAGUCCUCCAGCCCUUCUACCACAGGAAGAGGCAGGGUUCUCCGUCUAGGACCCAGCAACAAGGACCCAUCCAUCUUGAAGCAGAGAAUGAGUCCUUACCAGACAUUGGAGUCUGCUGAUGGCCUCAUGGUAGACUUCUCAGCCACCAGAACUAUAAGAAACAAAGUUUUAUUAUUUACAAAUCAUCAAAUUUGUGUUGUUGCAUUAUAGCAGCACGAAUGGAACAAGAUACUAUAUAGAUAAGAAAAUGAAUAGUUUUAAAUUUUUGUAAUUUAAAGAAUAUUUAUGUAACUCAAUACCUUUCAUUUGCAUUUUACAUAACUAUACCCAUUACAGAUACAUGUCCAAACUGAAUUAGUAAAUUUUGAUGUUUAUUUGCUGCACCUCUUGUCUGCCCCCAAGAUGGGAAGUGUAUGGCAUGUCUAGAGGCUCCCAGAAGAGAGGGAGAUCAAGCCAGCACUUGGUGGGCAGGAAGGAUUUGAAUAGUGAAGAAAAGCUAUUCCAGAUCUUGGAAAUCUGUAAAGUACAUAAAGAAGGAAGUUGCCUGGGUUGCCAAGUGUUGUUUUACCACACAAGGAAGUGGAAAAUGAGGCCAGAAAGAUAGGUUGAGGCUAGAUUAAAGGAAUUUUUAGUCCUAGUAUGAGGAAUUCACCUUUUUGCAUGAAAUUAUUUUAAAAGGUAGACAUAUAUUAUAGGAGAAAAAUGACCCAUCAAGAAAAAUGCUAUUGCAAUGGGGUAGGUAGUAGAGGCCUGAAUUAGGAUAGUGGCUAUGAGAAUAAAAUAAUGUACUCCAAAAUAGGAAAUGAAAGGAUUUGGUGACUACUCCCUGUGCAUUGCUCCCACAUCCUCCUCACUUCAGGCAGUCUAAACCGCAAUUUUUAUUCUAGAUAAUUGAAAGAAUAAUUAUAACAACAGCAAUAAAAAUAAAAGUAACCAACAUUCCUGUGGUGCUUAUUAUGUACCCAGCCCUUGUUUAAGUGUUUAAUCAUCUCAAAAACCUGGUGAAAUAAAUAGUGUCAUUCCCAUUUCAUUGAUGUGAAGUCUGAAGCAGAAGAGAUUAGAUGAUGGGCUCAAGGUCAUACAGAUAAUGAAUAGCAUACCUAGGACAGGAACCCAAACAGUUGGGCCCAGAGUCUGAAGGAAUGCUUCUCCCCAUGGUCUCAUUCACCAAGCGCUAGCUUGUGGCAGAUAGCCCUCGAGUUUCUAUCUAUUGAAGCUGAAGUGGAACGUCUGAGUGGGAAUAUGUAGCGGGUAAUCAAGACUGAGAUCUGAAAUUCAGAGAAUAGUCAAGAUUGAAGACAGGGAAUUGAGUACCGUGUACACCUUACUUAAUUGACUUGGGUAUUGAAGCCAUUCCAUUACCGAAUCUGAGAUCAGGGUCUAACCCAGGAGAGGAGGCGUGGUGCUGAGAGGUGAUCAAAACAAGAUUUUCAGACUGCUGGAAAAAAAUGCCUGCAGACUUGGUCACCAAACCUCUUGGUAGUUACAUCCUGCUUAUCUUUUCUUUCUCAUGUAUUCUAAUGAAUUGUAACAUAGUAUAUUGAUUUCCAUAUAAUUCCAGGAAAUGUGGUGGCUUAUAGUAUUUUCACGUUUGUUUUUAAGUUCUAACUUCUACCAGUUAUUUUAGGACCCUGAAAUACUCAAUAUGGCAAUAUACCAUGAAAUAUGAUGAGCUCAGACAUCAAGAACUCAAAGAGUUCAUGAUAGGAUCAUCGUUAAGAGAAACCACUUUGGAAAAAUGACUGGGUUUGGAUCUCAGCCCGGCCACUUACAAGUUUUCUGACAUUGAGCUUGUUAUUUUGUCUCUAAUAACACCCAUCUCAUGGGAAGGUUUAAAAAGGAUGACAUAUAUGUGUCGUUUCUUACUAUUCCUAUGAAAGAAGUCAGUAAAUUGUAGCUGUUACUAUUAUCUGAUCUCUAUAUGUAUACAAAUUGUAUGGACCUCUGAACAGAUAAAAAUUACCCAAGAUGCAUUUCCCUUCACUUUUUGAAGACACACUUCUUCAAGAGAUGUGUUUGCCAGAACACUUUAGUAUGUAAUCUAACCAGGACUUUGGAGAAGGAAAAGAUAAUGCCAUCACAAACAAUCCAUCACAUCCAAGACAAAUACAAGAUGGGCUCCCACUAACUGUUCUUGCAUAGGUCUUCAUAAAUUCUCCCAUGGACCGUCUACAACAGCCUUCCGGCUGCUCUCCACCUACAGCGUUAUCCUCCCUCCCAACGCCAUUUCUCUACCAGCAUUCUCCAAACUUUGAAAACUGCACAUCUCUUUAAUUGAAGGAGGAACUAAGCAUGAGUGGUGUUGCAUAAGAGGAGUUCAAAGAUGUCUGCAAGGGAAGGCAGCAAAGGAUUCACCAUGAGACAGUGCUGCUAAAUGAUAUGAUUAAAGUCAUAUAGGAAAAUGACAAAUCAUUCAUCAAGAACCACAACCCGAAGUUACAGGGGUGAUAAAAUGGAGCUGAAAGCCAAAUAAUCCAGUCCCGGUCAUGCAGUUAACUACUCAAAUCCAGUCAUCUCGAGUGUGGUGUGUUCACACACCCUGCUUUCUCUUCUCCGCUGCUCUAUCUACCCGACUUGGUCAGCAGUCUCAUGCAUUACUAACUCUGUCUGGAGACAGCAGCCCAGGUGAAGUAUGCCUUCUAGAAAAGUGAGAAAUUACAGUGCCAAAGACACAGCCCUCUGAGGUGACUUAGAAUCAACUGGGCCGAGAUUCUGCACUUCUAGCAAGCUGCCUUGUGAUCCUAUCAUAUUGCUGCUGGUCCAUGGAUCCAAGCAGAGGAAGCUUAAGAAGACUGUUGUGGACAACAGUAGAUAAGAACUCAUCUUACUUUUCAAAUAAGGCCCUUUUUCUCACAGGUUCUGCGGAAGAAGAAACAAUCAGAGAGAUAACUCUGUGAGUUUUCACAAUAAAUGCAAUCAGCAGCACAAUAAAUUAUACAUUUUCAUCAUCCCUAGUAUACCUCCAUGUCCUUUGUGGCCAACCAGUGAGACCCCUUGAUCUGUUUUCUGCAGAAUGUCAUAUAAAAGAAAUCACAGCAUUUCAAUGCAGUCUUUUGAUAAUGGUUUCUUUCAUUAACUACAGCAUUAAAGCUUUAUUCUUGGUUUAUGUAUUAUUAUCACUUCCUUUUUUCACUGAGUUGUAUUUGCUUAUAUUGAUAUAUCACAUCUUGCUUAUCUAUUCCAUAAUUGAGAGAUUUUUUUUAUUUUGGUUAAUCUAAAAAUGGUAAAAAUGCAUGUAUAAAUUUUUGUGUGAAUGUAGGCUGUAUUUCACUUGACUAACAAGUGAAAUAAAAAUAACAAACAAUGAGAUUGCUGGGUUGUACGUCAAAUGUAUGUUUAUAAGAAACUAUCAAAGUGUUUUCCAUAGUUCUUUUCUUACAGUCUCACCAGAGUUCCAGGUUUAUUUUUGUAGUUUACUCACUCUCUCAAUGUCAUAAAUUAAUUUGCC